This 24-nucleotide non-coding RNA is filed under the name Mus musculus (house mouse). Lineage: Eukaryota; Metazoa; Chordata; Mammalia; Rodentia; Muridae. The record is from RNAcentral.
AAAUAGCCAUAACCAUCGUGAGAG